UCCUCUCAAAUGAAUUAGCGGGGUCCUCUUUGCCGAUCCUCGACAUGUGAUAAGAUGUUUCCAUGUCUUGGCUUUAUGGCUCUGUUGCCUUUGGGACCCGCUUCUAACCGUCUCAGCGAGACAACGUUCGAGCGUGUCUGACGCUCUUGAACCCACGAAACCUUGACCUCAAAUCGGGUGAGACUACCCGCUGAACUUAA
RNAcentral lists this unclassified non-coding RNA (200 nucleotides) under soil metagenome. RNAcentral describes it as "partial contains internal transcribed spacer 2 and large subunit ribosomal RNA". The record is from RNAcentral.